This 86-nucleotide transfer RNA is filed under the name Devosia sp. RNAcentral describes it as "tRNA-Ser". It matches the Rfam family "tRNA". From Rfam's summary of the family: Transfer RNA (tRNA) molecules are approximately 80 nucleotides in length. Lineage: Bacteria; Pseudomonadati; Pseudomonadota; Alphaproteobacteria; Hyphomicrobiales; Devosiaceae. The record is from RNAcentral.
GGAAGGGUGGCAGAGUGGUAAUGCAGCGGCUUGCUAAGCCGUAGGACGGCAACGUUCCGCGGGUUCGAUUCCCGCCCCUUCCGCCA